Molecule: long non-coding RNA, 570 nt
Organism: Homo sapiens (human)
Lineage: Eukaryota; Metazoa; Chordata; Mammalia; Primates; Hominidae
Product: long intergenic non-protein coding RNA 603
Source: Ensembl
GGAGAAGACAUUUUUGAGAUGCAGUCUUAGAGAUUAGUGAAGAUUUAACUAAAACAUUGAUACUACAUGGUCUAAAUGAGGCAGAGAGAGCAUUUUAGAUGUGAUUCCGGGCCACCACAUUGCAUCAUUCUAGGAGCUGCCAUUGACAUUGUCUUCUUUGCAUGCCCCAAGGAGUGUUCAUCCCCAUAAUAGAAAAUGAUAAGAUUACACUCUGACACCAAGCCCUGCCCUUGUGGGAAGUAUGAUAAGCCUCAAGGCAAACAAUUCUUCCUUCGCGAUUGCAGUCUGGGCACCUGAUGAUAUAGAAUGACUCAUUGGACUCCUGCCUCUUCUACUUCAUUCUUACCAUGAGCUCCCCUAGAAGAUGUAGUCUUCCACCGUUACCAAAAUCUGCAACCAGAAAGAUCAAGCUCUAGGAAGCAGUACACACUAUACUCCUGUGUGGAAACAAAGUAAUCCUCAUCAGAUCAUCUAACUUGCUGUUGCUGUAAGGACUGUGAAUUGGUAGCAAUAAAUAAGCCAUGGGAAAUAGGAGGGAAAACACCAUCAAUGACAAUAAAAACUGAAUGU